RNAcentral lists this ribosomal RNA (2926 nucleotides) under Acinetobacter baumannii. Its description in RNAcentral is "23S ribosomal RNA". It matches the Rfam family "Bacterial large subunit ribosomal RNA". Lineage: Bacteria; Pseudomonadati; Pseudomonadota; Gammaproteobacteria; Moraxellales; Moraxellaceae. The record is from RNAcentral.
GUUGUAUAGUCAAGUAAUUAAGUGCAUGUGGUGGAUGCCUUGGCAGUCAGAGGCGAUGAAAGACGUGAUAGCCUGCGAAAAGCUCCGGGGAGGCGGCAAAUAUCCUUUGAUCCGGAGAUGUCUGAAUGGGGGAACCCACCUACUUUAAGGUAGGUAUUGCAACAUGAAUACAUAGUGUUGCAAGGCGAACGAGGGGAAGUGAAACAUCUCAGUACCCUUAGGAAAAGAAAUCAAUUGAGAUUCCCUCAGUAGCGGCGAGCGAACGGGGAUCAGCCCAUUAAGUUAUGUGUGUUUUAGUGGAACGCUCUGGGAAGUGCGAACGUAGAGGGUGAUAUUCCCGUACACGAAAGGGCACACAUAAUGAUGACGAGUAGGGCGAGGCACGUGAAACCUUGUCUGAAUAUGGGGGGACCAUCCUCCAAGGCUAAAUACUCCUGACUGACCGAUAGUGAACCAGUACCGUGAGGGAAAGGCGAAAAGAACCCCUGUGAGGGGAGUGAAAUAGAUCCUGAAACCGCAUGCAUACAAGCAGUGGGAGCACCUUCGUGGUGUGACUGCGUACCUUUUGUAUAAUGGGUCAGCGACUUAUAUUCAGUAGCAAGGUUAACCGUAUAGGGGAGCCGUAGAGAAAUCGAGUCUUAAUAGGGCGUUUAGUUGCUGGGUAUAGACCCGAAACCAGGCGAUCUAUCCAUGAGCAGGUUGAAGGUUGGGUAACACUAACUGGAGGACCGAACCCACUGUCGUUGAAAAGCCAGGGGAUGACUUGUGGAUAGGGGUGAAAGGCUAAUCAAGCCUGGUGAUAGCUGGUUCUCCCCGAAAGCUAUUUAGGUAGCGCCUCGGACGAAUACCAUAGGGGGUAGAGCACUGUUUCGGCUAGGGGGUCAUCCCGACUUACCAAACCGAUGCAAACUCCGAAUACCUAUGAGUACUAUCCGGGAGACAGACUGCGGGUGCUAACGUCCGUAGUCAAGAGGAAAACAAUCCAGACCGCCAGCUAAGGCCCCAAAAUCAUAGUUAAGUGGGAAACGAUGUGGGAAGGCAUAGACAGCUAGGAGGUUGGCUUAGAAGCAGCCACCCUUUAAAGAAAGCGUAAUAGCUCACUAGUCGAGUCGGCCUGCGCGGAAGAUGUAACGGGGCUAAAACUAUGUGCCGAAGCUGCGGAUNNNNNNNNNNNNNNNNNNNNNNNNNNNNNNNNNNNNNNNNNNNNNNNNNNNNNNNNNNNNNNNNNNNNNAUGCUGGAGGUAUCAGAAGUGCGAAUGCUGACGUGAGUAACGACAAAACGGGUGAAAAACCCGUUCGCCGAAAGACCAAGGGUUCCAGUCCAACGUUAAUCGGGGCUGGGUGAGUCGACCCCUAAGGCGAGGCCGAAAGGCGUAGUCGAUGGGAAAAUGGUUAAUAUUCCAUUACUUCUGUGUAAUGCGAUGAGAGGACGGAGAAGGCUAAAUCAGCCUGGCGUUGGUUGUCCAGGUGAAAGGAUGUAGGCAUGUAUCUUAGGCAAAUCCGGGGUACUCUAUGCUGAGAUCUGAUAGCAAGCUGUACUUGUACAGCGAAGUGGUUGAUGCCAUGCUUCCAGGAAAAGUCUCUAAGCUUCAGUUACACAGGAAUCGUACCCGAAACCGACACAGGUGGUCAGGUCGAGUAGACCAAGGCGCUUGAGAGAACUCUGCUGAAGGAACUAGGCAAAAUGGUACCGUAACUUCGGGAGAAGGUACGCUGUUGUUGGUGAUGGAACUCGCUUCCUGAGCUGACGACAGCCGCAGAAACCAGGCCGCUGCAACUGUUUAUUAAAAACAUAGCACUCUGCAAACACGAAAGUGGACGUAUAGGGUGUGAUGCCUGCCCGGUGCUGGAAGGUUAAUUGAUGGGGUUAGCGUAAGCGAAGCUCUUGAUCGAAGCCCCAGUAAACGGCGGCCGUAACUAUAACGGUCCUAAGGUAGCGAAAUUCCUUGUCGGGUAAGUUCCGACCUGCACGAAUGGCAUAAUGAUGGCGGCGCUGUCUCCAGCAGAGGCUCAGUGAAAUCGAAAUCGCUGUGAAGAUGCAGUGUACCCGCGGCUAGACGGAAAGACCCCGUGAACCUUUACUGCAGCUUGACACUGAACUUUGACCUUACUUGUGUAGGAUAGGUGGGAGGCUUUGAAGCUGGAACGCUAGUUCCAGUGGAGCCGUCCUUGAAAUACCACCCUGGUAAUGUUGAGGUUCUAACUCUGUCCCGUGAUCCGGGACGAGGACCGUGUCUGGUGGGUAGUUUGACUGGGGCGGUCUCCUCCUAAAGAGUAACGGAGGAGUACGAAGGUGCGCUCAGCGUGGUCGGAAAUCACGCGUAGAGUAUAAAGGCAAAAGCGCGCUUAACUGCGAGACCCACAAGUCGAGCAGGUACGAAAGUAGGUCUUAGUGAUCCGGUGGUUCUGUAUGGAAGGGCCAUCGCUCAACGGAUAAAAGGUACUCUGGGGAUAACAGGCUGAUACCGCCCAAGAGUUCAUAUCGACGGCGGUGUUUGGCACCUCGAUGUCGGCUCAUCUCAUCCUGGGGCUGAAGCAGGUCCCAAGGGUAUGGCUGUUCGCCAUUUAAAGAGGUACGCGAGCUGGGUUUAGAACGUCGUGAGACAGUUCGGUCCCUAUCUACCGUGGGCGCUGGAAAUUUGAGAGGAUCUGCUCCUAGUACGAGAGGACCAGAGUGGACGAACCUCUGGUGUACCGGUUGUGACGCCAGUCGCAUCGCCGGGUAGCUAUGUUCGGAAGGGAUAACCGCUGAAAGCAUCUAAGCGGGAAGCCUACCUCAAGAUAAGAUUUCCCUAGGACUUUAUGUCCUCUAAAGAGCCGUUCGAGACUAGGACGUUGAUAGGUUGGAUGUGGAAGCAUAGUGAUAUGUGAAGCUGACCAAUACUAAUUGCUCGUGAGGCUUGACUAUACAACACCCAAGCAGUUG